This 81-nucleotide small RNA is filed under the name unclassified sequences. RNAcentral's name for it is "NAD+-I sequence". It matches the Rfam family "nadA riboswitch". The record is from Rfam by way of RNAcentral.
GCUUUCAACAUCCCCGUUCCGGACCAAGCGUGAGCCUAUUGCGGAAUAGCCGCAAUCGCAUUCGCAUCCGGAGCUGAAGGC